UUAACUUCACUAAAGAGAAAUUAUACAACAAAAAUGGCGCGCGGAUACCAAUUUCAUUUCGCACCCAUUCUUCUCUAACCCAUGUCUCCUUCUCCUGCUAGUCUACCAAGAACUAUUCAGCGGAAGCCACCACGAUAGAACCCUAAUUUCUUUGCUUAAAACUAUUGUGUUCUCUCCUUCGUCAAAUCUCGUCUUUUGUUAGAAUAUUUUUAUUUGUUUUAAUCUCUUGCAAUCUAGAUGCUUGAGUUUGGCUGUGUCGUAUCUUCUAUAAUGGAUGAGCUCUCUCAUGCUUGGAGCUGGUUAGUUUAAUUUCGAUUCAUCAUUCCGAACUCGAGGAAGGUCAUCUCUGUCAGGUCAGCAAAGCCAUGUCUCAGAAAUGAUACUACCGUGAUGGCUUUUGCACCAGUAAAUGAGUGAUAAUCACCAACAGCCAUUGUCAAUGUUUGGUUACGCUUGAUUGAUCUAUUCUUGGCUUUGGCCACUAGGAUUUUCACCUGGCCUGGUUCUUCUGUUGUGUCUAAGGUUUUCAUAGCCAAUGGUAAAGAGGAUUCACAGUGCAAACGCCACAAGCCCAUGGCUGCUGAGGAAAUUGUUGACACAUGGAGCAAAGGUGCUUUUGGCUUUGAUGGAGACAUUUAAAAAGAAUAGAGGGAGAUGACUUUUGUUUGUGUAUCGAGUUUUUUAGUACACAUUUUGUUUUUUGUUUUGUUUUGUCUCCACUAUUGGUCAAUGCCUUGAAAGUGACAUUUGUAUAUAUAUAAACAUUUUAUGAUAAAUUUGUU
Molecule: non-coding RNA, 782 nt
Organism: Nelumbo nucifera (sacred lotus)
Lineage: Eukaryota; Viridiplantae; Streptophyta; Magnoliopsida; Proteales; Nelumbonaceae
Source: RefSeq, a predicted model, not a curated record